UACGGAGGGGGCUAGCGUUGUUCGGAAUUACUGGGUGUAAAGCGCGUGUAGGCGGCAGACCAAGUCGGCGGUGAAAGCGCCCGGCUCAACUGGGCGAGGUCCGUGGAAACUGGUCAGCUGGAGGACGGUAGAGGCGAGUGGAAUUCCCGGUGUAGUGGUGAAAUGCGUAGAGAUCGGGAGGAACACCUGUGGCGAAGGCGGCUCGCUGGGCCGGUCCUGACGCUGAGACGCGAAGGCGUGGGGAGCGAACGGG
This 253-nucleotide ribosomal RNA is filed under the name uncultured bacterium. RNAcentral's name for it is "partial 16S ribosomal RNA". It matches the Rfam family "Bacterial small subunit ribosomal RNA", at positions 524 to 776 of the family's 1533-position model. The record is from RNAcentral.